GAAUGGGCAAGGACACUGAUUUUGGAGGCUGAGUGGAAUCUGAGACAAACUCUCUCUUACCAGAAUUUGGAGGUGGGGCAUUUUUCCAGGCCUUUCAAUGCAGUCCAGUGAGAUUCCCAUACCUGACUCCAUACUCAAUACCAGGCAUGGGGUUGUGUCAGCGAGACAAGGCAUGCAGAGCAUGUGCUGGGGCUCCUGGAUCUCAGGGGUGUGGGAGAUGCUGCUGAGGCAGUGGACAUAUUGCCAUGGCAACCUCCUCUAACAUGUACGUGGCUGGAGGUGCCGCCUGACUGUCUGCCAACUAGCCAUUGAUUUUGUCUAUUAUGGUUUUUCAAGUGAAUCACCAUGAGACAAAGCAAACAGAAAAGUGUACAUCUGUUAAAGAAUCUUAUUAAACUGUUCUUCACCCACCCCAUCCCCCUAAGAGUAUCCCCGGCAUGUGGCUCUGCCUAGCCCCACCUACACACUGUUCAGG
Malaclemys terrapin pileata is the source of this 475-nucleotide long non-coding RNA. RefSeq lists it as uncharacterized. The transcript is spliced from 3 exons. The record is from RefSeq and is a predicted model, not a curated record. NCBI's taxonomy places the organism in Eukaryota, Metazoa, Chordata, Testudines, Emydidae.